Long non-coding RNA from Xiphophorus maculatus (southern platyfish), 1042 nucleotides. RefSeq lists it as uncharacterized. The transcript is spliced from 3 exons. The record is from RefSeq and is a predicted model, not a curated record. NCBI's taxonomy places the organism in Eukaryota, Metazoa, Chordata, Actinopteri, Cyprinodontiformes, Poeciliidae.
AUAAGCGGAAGAAAAUGGAUGGAUGGAUGGAUGAAGAAUUUGGCGAGGAUCAGCAGAUUGUUAAGAAUGAGCGUGGAUGUUCCGGGUCCGCCUUGGGGAUGAAAUGAUGAGUUAAAGGUCAGUUUAAGUAACAGGUUGAGGGAUGGAGCUCAGAAUAAUACGUGUGCCCACAUCGCCAUCUUGCCGGAAGUCCAGCUGAACCAGCUAAUGUGUUCAAGAGCAGUGAUGCAGAAAAUAAAAGUUCUUCCAGUAACUGGGUCCAUCAGCGCCGCCCGGCUCCUCCUCAUCCCCACCAACUCGCAACACAAAGCUUCACCCUUGCUUCAGCCUCCCAAACAUCGUCCGUUUCCGUCUCUCCACGUUUCUGAAGAACCUCAUUUACGCCAUAUUUUCUAAGUUUUAUUAUUUAUGUUUUAUUGUUUGUUUGAUCUUCAAAACCCAGAACCAGAGGCUGAAACCUGACUUUAUUUAUCCGUCACUUUAAAACAUUUGGUGUGCAGACAAACUAUCUUAUUCACUAAAACAACAAAGUCAAACUAUUGCAAGAAUAAUUUGAAAAUAAAUUCAUAUUUGUAGAACCUUGGAAAUGUUGAGUUGCAAAAUGUUUUAGUUAAAAGUUGUGAAACUGCAGAAGGUUAAAGAUUGGCGACGCCGACCGACUAAAACUCUCGGCUCUUCAGAGGAAACGGUUUCUCGGCUGUUUUCUUUCGGUUCUCAGUUCCUCCGGCUGCUGGCAGCCAUCAGACGUUAAAACCAUUAAAACCAGCUCCAGUUCCCAACAGCUAAGUGCUACCUUCAUGUUUCCUCAGCUGAAUGUGUCAGUGUUUCCCUCCCGCUGUUCGGAGCAAACAUGGAUCCUUUUUAUUUAAAUGAAACUGCUGUUCACAGCUGCACUGCAAAAACAAAUCAUUAGCAGGACUUUUUAGUGGAGCAAAUAUCUGAGUUCACUUAAACAAGACAAAACGAACCGACAAGAAACAUAAAGCAGCUGGAUUCAAGUCAAAAACUCCUCAGUAUUCAUGAGACGUUCCAUGGAAAAAAU